UACGUAGGGUGCGAGCGUUGUCCGGAAUUAUUGGGCGUAAAGAGCUCGUAGGCGGUUCGUCGCGUCGAAUGUGAAAACCCGGGGCUCAACUCCGGGCCUGCAUUCGAUACGGGCGGACUAGAGUUCGGUAGGGGAGACUGGAAUUCCUGGUGUAGCGGCGAAAUGCGCAGAUAUCAGGAGGAACACCGGUGGCGAAGGCGGGUCUCUGGGCCGAUACUGACGCUGAGGAGCGAAAGCGUGGGGAGCGAACAGG
This 253-nucleotide ribosomal RNA is filed under the name uncultured bacterium. RNAcentral describes it as "partial 16S ribosomal RNA". It matches the Rfam family "Bacterial small subunit ribosomal RNA", at positions 524 to 776 of the family's 1533-position model. The record is from RNAcentral.